This 22-nucleotide microRNA is filed under the name Scyliorhinus torazame (cloudy catshark). RNAcentral's name for it is "Sto-Mir-130-P1c_3p (mature (guide))". The record is from RNAcentral. Lineage: Eukaryota; Metazoa; Chordata; Chondrichthyes; Carcharhiniformes; Scyliorhinidae.
CAGUGCAAUAUUAAAGGGGCAU